UACGUAGGGUGCAAGCGUUAAUCGGAAUUACUGGGCGUAAAGCGUGCGCAGGCGGUCCGUUAAGACAGAUGUGAAAUCCCCGGGCUUAACCUGGGAACUGCAUUUGUGACUGCACGGCUGGAGUGCGGCAGAGGGGGAUGGAAUUCCGCGUGUAGCAGUGAAAUGCGUAGAUAUGCGGAGGAACACCGAUGGCGAAGGCAAUCCCCUGGGCCUGCACUGACGCUCAUGCACGAAAGCGUGGGGAGCAAACAGG
This 253-nucleotide ribosomal RNA is filed under the name uncultured bacterium. RNAcentral's name for it is "partial 16S ribosomal RNA". It matches the Rfam family "Bacterial small subunit ribosomal RNA", at positions 524 to 776 of the family's 1533-position model. The record is from RNAcentral.